RNAcentral lists this ribosomal RNA (305 nucleotides) under uncultured bacterium. RNAcentral describes it as "partial 16S ribosomal RNA". It matches the Rfam family "Bacterial small subunit ribosomal RNA", at positions 334 to 656 of the family's 1533-position model. The record is from RNAcentral.
UAUGCCUACGGGGGGCAGCAGUGGGGGAUAUUGCACAAUGGGGGGAACCCUGAUGCAGCGACGCCGCGUGGGUGAAGAAGCGCCUCGGCGCGUAAAGCCCUGUCAGCAGGGAAGAAAAUGACGGUACCUGAAGAAGAAGCCCCGGCUAACUACGUGCCAGCAGCCGCGGUAAUACGUAGGGGGCAAGCGUUAUCCGGAUUUACUGGGUGUAAAGGGGGCGCAGACGGCGAUGCAAGCCAGGAGUGAAAGCCCGGGGCCCAACCCCGAGACUGCUCUGGAAACUAUUGAACUUGAGUGCAGGAGAG